AUACUUCAUGCUCAAAAGUAAACAGAGCAGUGAUAAAAUGGAAAAGUACAAAUGAGACUCGAUCCAGUGAACAAGGGGCCCGGCUACCCACUCCUUGCCAUUCUAUUAUUUACUAGCUUAUGCUACAGAGUCAAUACAGGAAAUGGGCUACAAUGGAGCAUGCCCAAUACUAGCUCCAAAGAUCUUGAUUUCAUUUUCAGCACGAACUCUGUAAGAGGUUUUCGCGGUAGCUCGAUUCUUACAUUUAAUA
RNAcentral lists this long non-coding RNA (250 nucleotides) under Populus trichocarpa (black cottonwood). RNAcentral's name for it is "long non-coding RNA (PTRI_LNC002849)". The record is from RNAcentral. Lineage: Eukaryota; Viridiplantae; Streptophyta; Magnoliopsida; Malpighiales; Salicaceae.